GGUAAUUGUACCUUCUGGGCCUGGAUGCUGGGAGUCUUGGAGGAGCCUAAGCUCAAGAUCAUGGCAAGUGCUAAUCUUCUUAUACUUAAGGGGCUGGAUUUCAUUGUCUUCAUGAUGAAGGCAUCAGCUGAGUUCAGUGAAACGAGGCCAUAGCCAACAGGUAAAAAGACAACACACUGAGCCCCAGAGCUGCUUAAGACAGAGACUCAGGAUUUAAGCUUGUGCCGGUCCACUUGGGAGCCCUAGAUGAGUAUUUAAUUCUCAGACUGUGAAUGUGAGCCAGAAGAAGAAGCCAUUCUCACAUAGACAUGGACCACUAAUGGGCAUAUCUAUAUUGGGAUGUUUUGUAUCGGACUACCAAAGUAUACGGACUUGGUGCUUUCUUUUUCUUCGUUUCCCUUUUUGUUUUUCUUUAUCUUGUUUUCUUAUGUAGGCAAUGCAGACCAAGG
This is a long non-coding RNA of Puntigrus tetrazona (Sumatra barb), 449 nucleotides long. RefSeq lists it as uncharacterized. Lineage: Eukaryota; Metazoa; Chordata; Actinopteri; Cypriniformes; Cyprinidae. The transcript has 5 exons. The record is from RefSeq and is a predicted model, not a curated record.